This 433-nucleotide ribosomal RNA is filed under the name uncultured bacterium. Its description in RNAcentral is "partial 16S ribosomal RNA". It matches the Rfam family "Bacterial small subunit ribosomal RNA", at positions 29 to 507 of the family's 1533-position model. The record is from RNAcentral.
AACGAACGCUGGCGGCAUGCCUAACACAUGCAAGUCGAACGAGACCUUCGGGUCUAGUGGCUCACGGGUGCGUAACGCGUGGGAACCUGCCCUUAGGUUGGGAAUAACUCCCCGAAAGGGGUGCUAAUACCGGGUAAUGUCUUCGGACCAAAGAUUUAUCGCCUUUGGAUGGGCCCGCGUUGGAUUAGCUAGUUGGUAGGGUAAAAGCCUACCAAGGCGACGAUCCAUAGCUGGUCUGAGAGGAUGAUCAGCCACACUGGGACUGAGACACGGCCCAGACUCCUACGGGAGGCAGCAGUGGGGAAUAUUGGACAAUGGGCGAAAGCCUGAUCCAGCAAUGCCGCGUGAGUGAUGAAGGCCUUAGGGUUGUAAAGCUCUUUUACCCGGGAUGAUAAUGACAGUACCGGGAGAAUAAGCUCCGGCUAACUCCGUG